AAGGGAGACCUAAUUCCGGUAGGAGACGAAAAAAAAGUAGUCCCAACCAAGAAUCAAUCCCAAAAGGUCGGAACGAGGUAUGAGGCUUUCAAACUAGGUUCUGGGUUCACAAAAGACCUGAAUCAGGAACAAGGGCUAUUAGCUCAGGUGGUUAGAGCGCACCCCUGAUAAGGGUGAGGUCCCUGGUUCGAGUCCAGGAUGGCCCACCUGCACAGGUGGCAAAAACAAGAGAAGCUCCGAAUCAGCACCUUAUCUUAUAUACAUAUACAAGAGAGAAUGCUGGCUCUGAGUACAGAGUCCAGAGGAACCUUGAAAACUGCAUAGAGCUAGGUGAAAAAGCCAAAAAAGAAGACCGCAA
RNAcentral lists this transfer RNA (358 nucleotides) under uncultured Microcystis sp. Its description in RNAcentral is "partial 16S-23S ribosomal RNA intergenic spacer". The stretch from base 133 to 206 matches the Rfam family "tRNA". Lineage: Bacteria; Bacillati; Cyanobacteriota; Cyanophyceae; Chroococcales; Microcystaceae. The record is from RNAcentral.